RNAcentral lists this long non-coding RNA (1368 nucleotides) under Solanum lycopersicum (tomato). RNAcentral describes it as "partial TCONS_00156947". Lineage: Eukaryota; Viridiplantae; Streptophyta; Magnoliopsida; Solanales; Solanaceae. The record is from RNAcentral.
AAAUGACUUUUCAUUUGCACUUCAUAUUCUUUCUUUUCUUUUCCCAUCUACAUUUGCUAAAACCCAACGAUAGCUACAACGCACACAAACUCAAUAAUUUCUAUAUUUUUAUUAAAUGAUUUAUUCAAUAUAUAUUAAUACUUAAUUAUAAUAAUUAAGAUAAAUUAUGAGCUCAUAACAAAUUUAAAAUUCGUAAACUUUAUAUCCUAAAUUCCUAAUCCCGUCUAGUAGCAUAUAAUAUAUAAUGUAAUGAAAUGGAAAUUAAUAUUAUAUAGGAAGCUUUAUUAAUACCACAACUUUAGUUAAAUAUGUGUUAAGUUUAGUUAUAUUGUAUUGUUUGCUAAGAUUUUUUACAAAGCACUCAAGGUGCUUGACAAAAUGACUGACAGGAAAAAACACACCAAAAAGAGUACUUGUGUUCCUUUUUUUCCCCACCCAGUGUACCGAGCCCAGGUUGGAGUUUCGAUUAAAUUUGAAUCACGCUCUGUAUGGUUCAUUUGGGGUGGCGCUCCCAACAUGAUUUUCUCCAAACACAGCGCGAACCUGAGACCUUAGGUUAAGGUGAAACACUUUCACUAUUGUACCGCAACCCGUGUUGGUAGUACUUGUGCUCCUGAAUUUUUUUAUGACAAGGGAAAUCCGCAGCCGCUAUUCCUUCGGUGUGCACAGGGUAAAACCCUCACUUCCUAUGCAAUAACUCGCAAACCACAGAGGAGAAGUAACCCGCAGUGGGCAAGCCCGGUGCGACGAGUUCCACCCAGAAGGCAAACUUCGUACUUUCGCUGGCAAGGGGUUUCGAACUUGAGACCUCCAAUAUGGAAGUCUCAAGCCUAAACCGCUGGGCCACCCUGAAGGGUACUUGUGCUCCUGAUUUGAUAUGAAGAAAUGCAGUAAAUGGACAUGGAAUUGUGAAAAUGGAUGAAGUCUUGGAGAAGAUGGUGUCUAGGGAGUUAAAAGAUUGAUUCCCAGAUUGCCAAAUUGAUUGCAGGACAACCAUAACUCCGGAUACUCGAGCUCAAGCACCCUCCCCUGCUGCUUUUCAGAGGCCGAGCUAGAUGGAAGGUAUGAGUUCGGUAAAACCUAGUAAGUUUGGUCUAUACUCUUAAGAAAUUCACUAAAAAUAUGCGUAUAAUAAACUUCAAAUCAUGGAUCCGCUUUGAGGAGCAGGCUCUUCGAUCUUCACAAUGGUCAUUAUUUAAAAACCAAAAGUUUGUUAAUGACAAUUAUGUUUACCAAAGAAAAAUAUCAUCCUCCUCAUUGUAAAAAAACAACAACAAAAAGAACACUCCCAAAGUUCUGAGUUUCCAGCCUGUGCAUCAGAGCAGGACCAUUACUAUUUCUGUGGUCCUUAGUACUGUUAAUUUGUAG